Non-coding RNA from Gossypium hirsutum (cotton), 122 nucleotides. Lineage: Eukaryota; Viridiplantae; Streptophyta; Magnoliopsida; Malvales; Malvaceae. The record is from Rfam.
AAUAGUUUUAUGCCACAUCAGUAUUCUUAUCCUGAAUUUCAGGAUUUUAUCCUGAAGAAAAUCAAAUCCAAAUUAAAAUACUGAAAUUCAGGAUAAGAAUACUGAUGUGGCAUAAAACUAUU